GUAGAUAUAGUUUAACGAAAAUAUUAGGUUGUGGUUCUAAAGACAAGGGUUAAACUCCCUUUAUCCACC
RNAcentral lists this transfer RNA (69 nucleotides) under Scatophagus argus. Its description in RNAcentral is "tRNA-His". It matches the Rfam family "tRNA". Rfam says of the family: Transfer RNA (tRNA) molecules are approximately 80 nucleotides in length. Their secondary structure includes four short double-helical elements and three loops (D, anti-codon, and T loops). Lineage: Eukaryota; Metazoa; Chordata; Actinopteri; Scatophagidae. The record is from RNAcentral.